This 127-nucleotide small nucleolar RNA is filed under the name Marmota marmota marmota (Alpine marmot). Its description in RNAcentral is "Small nucleolar RNA SNORA4 (ENSMMMG00000000865.1)". The record is from RNAcentral. Lineage: Eukaryota; Metazoa; Chordata; Mammalia; Rodentia; Sciuridae.
CCACCAACAGUUAAUAUUUUCACAAAGGUUUUUAAAAUAAUCUUUAACAAAUUGGGCUGAUCAGGAGAAGAAAUAAAAGACCAAGUUCCACAGGGGGCUAUACUGCUUACUAUUUUGUGCCUACAUU